GUACAUACCUCGCCAUGGAUUUAUGCGCACUUUGCGAAACAAAUACGCCUGAAGUGGGCGCAAAAGCGUUAGUACAUCUGGCCCUGAGAAUUUUAAUUGUAAUGUGAUGAUCGGGUGCGGAUAUCUAAUCGGAGAAAAUCAUUGGUGAUGAUGAUGUAUCGGUUCAACUGAGACAUAUCCAGCUGCAGACCCGCAGCACCACCAGUUUCAGAACCCCAGUUUCAGAACCCCAGUUUCAGAACCCCAGCGCCAGAACCUGAAGUGAGGGGCGGAGUUAUUGACAAUGAGACAAGCAUGGCGGAGAGCAUGUAUGCUCUACAUCUUGUCUUGGGAGCACCCUUUGAUUUUACAUCUUGCCACUUUCCAAACAUACGGAGAUGGUGGGCUUAUUUUUCUGGAGAACUUUGGGGUUUU
Xyrauchen texanus (razorback sucker) is the source of this 414-nucleotide long non-coding RNA. RefSeq lists it as uncharacterized. Lineage: Eukaryota; Metazoa; Chordata; Actinopteri; Cypriniformes; Catostomidae. The transcript has 4 exons. The record is from RefSeq and is a predicted model, not a curated record.